UUCCGGUUGAUCCUGCCGGACCCGACUGCUAUCAGAGUGGGACUAAGCCAUGCGAGUCGACGUAGCAAUGCGUGGCGAACGGCUCAGUAACACGUAGUCAACAUGCCCAGGGGACGUGGAUAACCUCGGGAAACUGAGAAUAAACCACGAUAGGUCACGAUUUCUGGAAUGGAUCAUGGCCUAAAUCUACAUGGCCCCUGGAUUGGACUGCGGCCGAUCAGGCUGUUGGUGAGGUAAUGGCCCACCAAACCUAUAACCGGUACGGGCUCUGAGAGGAGAAGCCCGGAGAUGGGCACUGAGACAAGGGCCCAGGCCCUAUGGGGCGCAGCAGGCGCGAAACCUCUGCAAUAGGCGAAAGCCUGACAGGGUUACUCUGAGUGAUUUCCGCUAAGGGGAUCUUUUGGCACCUCUAAAAAUGGUGCAGAAUAAGGGGUGGGCAAGUCUGGUGUCAGCCGCCGCGGUAAUACCAGCACCCCGAGUGGUCGGGACGAUUAUUGGGCCUAAAGCAUCCGUAGCCGGUUCUGCAAGUCUUCCGUUAAAUCCAGCCGCUCAACGGAUGGGCCGCGGAGGAUACUACAGGACUAGGAGGCGGGAGAGGCAAGCGGUACUCAGUGGGUAGGGGUAAAAUCCUUUGAUCCAUUGAGGACCACCGGUGGCGAAGGCGGCUUGCCAGAACGCGCUCGACGGUGAGGGAUGAAAGCUGGGGGAGCAAACCGGAUUAGAUACCCGGGUAGUCCCAG
RNAcentral lists this ribosomal RNA (740 nucleotides) under uncultured archaeon. Its description in RNAcentral is "bacterial SSU rRNA". It matches the Rfam family "Archaeal small subunit ribosomal RNA", at positions 1 to 750 of the family's 1478-position model. The record is from RNAcentral.